AUAUGCACAGAGAGGUUAAUAGUGCUGCUAACUAGAUGGCAUCUUAUAUAGGCCACCACAUAAGAUCAAUUUUGUGGGCUUUUCUAACUGAUUUUCUAUUUUAGUUUUUAAAUAUUUUAUUUUUUAAUCUUCAUAGAUGUAUCUAUUCACAUUUAAUUUAAAUUAAUGCAUUCAAUUUAUCAAAAGAAAAGAUCUAAAUGUUGGCACCUACUAGGUUUUAAGAUGAGAACAUGUACACUAUUGGAAGAGUUGCAAAUUUAAAACUUAAAUAAGAAGGUAUGAAUGAUAGCAACAAUUUUAACAAAAAUAUGAAAGAUUAUCAUGCAAUUGAAAAUAAAAAUGGUUUCAUGAUUUCAAUAUAAGAACAAGUUUUUGUCAAUAGUUAUGAUCAUUAUUGAUUGCACCACUAAAGUUUUUUGCUGUAUCUAAAAGAAAAUCUUUAAUAUAGCUUGAAGGUGCACCAAGAAACAAUCCCCAAAUAAAUACUUUGCUAGCAUGAAUAUAAAAUAAAUUCCCCAAAGAAGCCAAUUAUGUAACCUUUAACAUCUGAUUAUGAUGUAAACAACAUCCACGUGAUGAAAG
RNAcentral lists this long non-coding RNA (582 nucleotides) under Elaeis guineensis (African oil palm). RNAcentral's name for it is "long non-coding RNA (EGUI_LNC009069)". The record is from RNAcentral. Lineage: Eukaryota; Viridiplantae; Streptophyta; Magnoliopsida; Arecales; Arecaceae.